AAAAAUUGUCCGUGAAAGUGCAAUUAUGCAGAAAGGCAGAAAAAGGCCAGACAGAGUGGAAACCGUGUUGGAAGGCAAAGACUUAUUGCAGGAAUACUGUAUGUUUGGCUCAAAGCUAGGUCCUGGAAACAAUCUGAAAAAAAUCCUCUACAUCCUGAGAUGUCUGCUGUCUAAAUCUUGGGGCUUGCAGAGUGGGUUCACUCUUCCGCUCUUCUGCCAUGUGAGGAUGCAGUAAGAUGACCCUCAGCAGAUGCUGGUGCCUUGAUCUUGGACUUCCCAGUCUCCAGAACUGGGAUGAAAUGCUGUGAUGGGUUGCACGCCCACAUCACCACUCUGCUGUCGGGAGAAGAGGAAGGCACGUUCCUCCCAAACACAGGGACUGAAAGCAGUUCUGAAGGCUGAAGUCCAAGACCAGGGUGGCAGCAUGGUCAGGUCCUGGCGAGGGCCAUUUUCCGAGUCUUUGCAGGUGCUUUAAAGUUAAGGAUCUCAAGAUGAGACCAUUCUGGAAUAUCCAGGUGGAUCCUAAAUCCAAUGACAAGUGUCCCUGUAAGAGACUGAAGAGGAGAGGACACGCUUCUCUGCCUCCGUGGGAGAAGAGGAGAAGGCCCGGCAAAGACGGAGGCAGAGGUUGGAACUCUGCAGUCACAAGCCAGGGAACAUGGAAGCCACCAGGAGCUGGAAG
This 682-nucleotide long non-coding RNA is filed under the name Homo sapiens (human). Its description in RNAcentral is "HSALNT0397220". Lineage: Eukaryota; Metazoa; Chordata; Mammalia; Primates; Hominidae. The record is from RNAcentral.